AGUUCCUGCCUUGAUUUCCUUCAGUGAUGAACAGCCAUGCUGAAGUAGCUUCAACUAGACACUGGUUGCUGACAAGCUAUGCCCUAUUAUUAUCAUCUGAGCCCAUCCAAUUUGGAAAUAAGGUCAGUGCCGUUGACUACAGCAGCUGUGCUCCAGGCUGUAGAUGUUCAAGUUUGUUCUGCUGAUUUUCCUUCUGUGACUUGGGUGAAGGAGCAGUGGCUACCUCAGGCCAGGAUUUCUCAAGAAGCAAGUCAGACACACACAAGCAGCCACAAAAGACUAGGCAAGCACAUUUAAAUAUAGGCCUCAAAGGAGGUGUUCUGGUGCCGGAGAUACUGCAGAUGGACACAUGUAUCUGCUUUUAGAAAUACAAAUCUAGAUACAUGAUUAUUUUCAUCAGGGGGUGUGGAAGAAAAGGAAACUCCUGGAAUACUUUUUGCUAUCAAGAAAGGAAAUAUUUUUAUAAGAAAUAUUUAAUUGUCUAAAUUUGCUAAUUUCUUUAUUUUACACUUCUUUAAAGGUGUGUAUACCACACAAAUACAUGUAUACACACACAGCCACAUGCACAACAAUAAAAUUUUCAAUGAAA
Long non-coding RNA from Mesocricetus auratus (golden hamster), 589 nucleotides. RefSeq lists it as uncharacterized. The record is from RefSeq and is a predicted model, not a curated record. The transcript has 4 exons. Lineage: Eukaryota; Metazoa; Chordata; Mammalia; Rodentia; Cricetidae.